UCGCGCCUACGGGACGCAGCAGUGGGGAAUAUUGGACAAUGGGGGGAACCCUGAUCCAGCGACGCCGCGUGAGUGAAGAAGUAUUUCGGUAUGUAAAGCUCUAUCAGCAGGGAAGAAAAUGACGGUACCUGACUAAGAAGCCCCGGCUAACUACGUGCCAGCAGCCGUGGUAAUACGUAGGGGGCGAGCGUUAUCCGGAAUUACUGGGUGUAAAGGGAGCGUAGACGGCGAGGUAAGCCUGAAGUGGAAGCCCGCGGCCCAACCGCGGAACUGCUUUGGGAACUGUUUUGCUGGAGUAUGGGAGG
This 305-nucleotide ribosomal RNA is filed under the name uncultured bacterium. RNAcentral's name for it is "bacterial SSU rRNA". It matches the Rfam family "Bacterial small subunit ribosomal RNA", at positions 333 to 655 of the family's 1533-position model. The record is from RNAcentral.